Molecule: ribosomal RNA, 804 nt
Filed under: uncultured organism
Description: SSU rRNA
Rfam family: Bacterial small subunit ribosomal RNA
Source: RNAcentral
GACGAACGCUGGCGGCGUGCCUAAUACAUGCAAGUCGAGCGCGGGAAGCUUGCGGAAUCUUUCGGGAGGAAGUGAGCGGACCGAGCGGCGGACGGGUGAGUAACACGUGGCAACCUGCCCGUAAGACGGGGAUAACCCCGGGAAACCGGGGCUAAUACCGGAUAGGUGACCUUUCUGCAUGGAGGGGUCAUGAAAGGCGGCGGAAGCCGUCGCUUACGGAGGGGCCCGCGGCGCAUUAGCUAGUUGGUGAGGGAAGGGCUCACCAAGGCGACGAUGCGUAGCCGGCCUGAGAGGGUGAACGGCCACACUGGGACUGAGACACGGCCCAGACUCCUACGGGAGGCAGCAGUAGGGAAUCUUCCGCAAUGGACGGAAGUCUGACGGAGCAACGCCGCGUGAGUGAGGAAGGCCUUCGGGUCGUAAAGCUCUGUUGUUCGUGAAGAAGGGGUUGGCCAGGAAAUGGGCCGACAUUGACGGUAGCGAACCAGGAAGCCCCGGCUAACUAUGUGCCAGCAGCCGCGGUAACACGUAGGGGGCAAGCGUUGUCCGGAAUGAUUGGGCGUAAAGGGCGCGCAGGCGGCCUCUUAAGUCUGAUGUGAAAGCCCACGGCUCAACCGUGGAGGGACAUUGGAAACUGGGGGGCUUGAGUGCAGGAGAGGGGAGUGGAAUUCCACGUGUAGCGGUGAAAUGCGUAGAGAUGUGGAGGAACACCAGUGGCGAAGGCGGCUCUCUGGCCUGUGACUGACGCUGAGGCGCGAAAGCGUGGGGAGCGAACAGGAUUAGAUACCCUGGUAGUCCACGCCG